CCAUACUCCCAAGUCCUCACCACAUCGCCUAGCACCCAGCCUAUAUAUCCCGCCCCGCAGCGCAGCACCCAUCACAGCAGCGCCCAGACACACCCAGCCCUCACCUCUUUCUUCUCACCACCGGGCCGCCAUACGCCCUAUCCUCUUUUUCUCGCCAUAGCGGCUCCCUGGGUGUGGAGUGUGGACGAGCUCCUGGCCUUCGUCUCCGUCGUCAAGUCCCACCGACAAGACAAGGCACUCGCUCCGCCUCUUCUUGCACGUACGUCCAGCCGCCCGCGCUCCGUCCGAUAGUACUGGAAGUGGAAGGUAUCCGUCCGCCCGCUCCUUCCUAAGAAAAUAAUACUGUACGUACGUUUUUGAAAGAUGGGCAUAGGAGAAGUAGUACGUAGUAAUUUUCUGGUCGCUAGCAUAUAUAGCAUGGAUGUCUGGACGAUUUUGCCGCCUCUGGAUUUACUGUAUUGCUUCUCUUAAUUAGCACGCGGGCCUCCUCCGGGUACGGUAUUCUCAUUACUAUCGUCGUGCCCCGCCUCGCAUAAACCCUCUCCGCGCUGCAUCCCACAGCGCCCACACGAAAUCUGAUUUGUGGACCAGGAACCUUGCAUGUGCUUAAUUUGCACAACCAAUCGCCGUUGUAGUUUCAUUCAUCCAUACGCGAGAUGGAGCUCAUGUUCACCCUUUGGUAGGAUCUUGCAGCUCUUUCAUGUUUCUUUACUCUUGGCAUGCAUGUUUAGUCCUCCCAUCUGCACGUUGAUUAACCUUUUUUUUCUCAACCUCCUGCAGCAGUUCCGUUUCAUAUCUUGAGUUUAUCUAUCUAUAUAUAUCAACCCAAGAAGAAGAAGAUGUCGGUGCUUAUGUUAGACGUCGUUACCAGUAUUAACCCUCCAUUAGCGCAUCUGGGCACCGGUUUUGUUGCUUAUUUCCGUCGAAGAACAGUCCUAAUAAUAACAAAUGAGCAUGUUGUCCAAGGGGCUAUGUUUGUUAGGGUUAGGCUUCCGGGCGGAAGCCAACAGUUCACUGGAGAAGUGCUGGUGGCAGACAACCAAGUGGACCUUGCUAUAGUUCGAUUGGUUAAUGUGGAGGGACUGCAUGGGCGGACCCAGGACAAAAAUGUCCCGGUGUUCCAUAUACAUUACAUAUAUAUGGAUAUCAAGCAAUGUUAUACAUAAAAGUUACAAACUCACCAUUUACAUGGCACUUGUUCUUUACAUUAAUAUCAAAACAUGUCUUUUCUUUGUGGAAGACCACAAGUCACAUUUAAUAAUAUGCAGUUCAUAUCCAAAAAUUGUCAUUUCCGUUUAAAAAAACAAUUAUUGUGUUAGCACAAAUGUACAAUGUUAGUAAUGUUACAAUAUUAAUAUUUCGAGGGGCAAGAAUAAAAUUAAUUAAUAAAGCAUAAUUAAUUGAAUUGUGUGAUUAUGGAGUUAACCCUGUUGUUGUUUUAACCUCACUGUUGUGCGUCUGGCCAUCAAGGAAUGACCCAAACAGAUGUGAGUCGCUCACAGAAAUUGACAAGACGCAAUAUUCCAAUUCCCAACUAAACACUCCUAAAAUUAAAAACCCUAGGCAUACAUAUUUUUUUGGGAUUAGUUUGAAUUGCAAGAACUAGACAAAAUAGAGGUAUUCUCUUGGGAGAAAUAAUCGACUUACCUCUCCAGUUCUCGAUCUCAUGUGAUCUACGAGUGGGUGAGGGCGAGCUGGUAGACCGUGACGCUGAUUAGCGCGCGAGUAGGCGGCGGGGACGCCGUGACGAACAAGCGCGGUUCUGCUGUCUGCAGUUUGCGGGAGGAGGCGGCGAGGAAGUAGGCGCAGGUAGCGAUCAGAUCGAUCAGAUGGCAUAGCUAGCUAGGGCAUGCGCGAUGCGUUUUUCUAGAGAGAAUGGGCAUCCGUGCGUUUUUUUAAGGAUGGGCAUGCCGUGCACACUCACGCACGCCGUUGGCUGCAUGGGCCAUUAUUAGAUGGGCUUGGGUGCGUCCCGUCACUGGCUCUUUGCUCCUGAUCCAGGAAUUUUACCGGUGUCCAUACAGAAAAUUUAGGGGUGUCAUCGCGAUAUAGAGCCAACGUAUACAAGGUAAGCAGCAGAAUUACCCGGUGUCCCGUGACACCGGGAGGGCCAACGUGGGUCCGCCCCUGGGACCGUUUCAACCUAUGGUGUUCGCGGAUGUAUCUAUUGAUAACUUUCCAUGGACGGCAUAUGCUCAUGGAUAUUUCUUGGUCCUUGGAGCGCCGGUCAUCAACCCUGCGAGGGCUCCCGGUGAGAUUAACGGCGCGUUCUUCCGAAAUAAUGUUCACUACCUACAAGGGGAUUUCGCACUUCAGCAUGGAAUGUCCGGUGGACCAGUUACUAUGGGAAACAGAGUCAUUGGAGUCAGUACCGCAGUUGCGUGGGGACCGAGCGUCAUUAUUUCCCUGGAUACUGUACACAUGACACUUAUGUUUUGGUGUGGUCUUAAAUCUUAAUGACGGAGACCCUACUAUUGAUGAGAUGCUAGAAAUGCUUGCUGCUGGUGCCGCCUAAUCAGUUCCACAAUUUCAAGUAAAAUCAAGGAAUGAAAUAUCAGCAGUGGCAUGGAGUGCUUGCUUGUUGCAUUGCUGAAUCCUGGAGUCGACUCGAAGAUGGUUUAUUGUUAUUUAAAAUUUUAUUUUCGAAGUUGUUGGAGUGAUGUGUUAAGUUAUUCGUGUCAUGUCAGUUUGUGUAUUAUUCAUGUACGAGGCUACAUUACAAUGUUAAGUAUUGUUAUUUGUUGUAUGUACGUAUCAAUGUAUUGGACCGAUUAUGAGUACUUUGAGCUGAUGUGAUUCAUCAGUACCU
Molecule: long non-coding RNA, 2809 nt
Organism: Triticum urartu
Lineage: Eukaryota; Viridiplantae; Streptophyta; Magnoliopsida; Poales; Poaceae
Source: RefSeq, a predicted model, not a curated record